Molecule: non-coding RNA, 21 nt
Filed under: Caenorhabditis elegans
Lineage: Eukaryota; Metazoa; Nematoda; Chromadorea; Rhabditida; Rhabditidae
Source: RNAcentral
UAAAUUCUUUUACCCACCUCU